AUUUUAUUAAUAAAUUUAUCAUUAAAGGCAGCUUUACAUGUAUACCGGCUACGUAAUACUAAUGUGACUGUUUGAUAAUACAUAAUUUGUGAUUCAAGACUAUGACAUUUAUUAACAAAACAGAUAGGGUAUAAUAUUUGGAUAUUAUUUUAUAGAAUUUAAUUUAAUUGAAUGAAUUUGAAAUUUCUUUAUAUGUAACAUCAAUAUGUUGUUAACUUUGAAUAUCUUUCCACUUUAAAUAUAACCUCCUUUGCCGGUUACAAAAAAUUGUAGUAAGUUAUGAUUAUAUUGUUAUCGAAACAGUUGAACAUUAAUAUAUAAUAAAAAGUAUGACUGCGAGAUGGGAAAUAUACUUUUUGACAAUAUCAAUGUUAUUGUUUAUCGUUUGUGUACAAAGUUUGCAAAGUUUAGAAGUAAUAUAUGCAAUAAAUGCUGGUGGAGAUACACAUACUGACAGUUAUGGAAUUCGUUAUACUAGAGAUCCUUUAAUGAAUAAAGUUGGAACUGCAUCUGAUUAUGGCAAGCAGUUAAUUAUUGGUCGAGUAAAUACUAUUGACCAAAUUUUGUAUCAAACUGAACGUUAUCAUCAUAGCACAUUUGGAUAUGAUAUUCCAAUAAAUGAAGAUGGAGAUUAUGUUAUGAUAUUAAAAUUUUGUGAAGUUUAUUUUAACUCUCCUAAUAUGAAGGUAUUUGAUGUUGUAUUAAAUGGAGAUCAUACUGUUGUUACUGAUUUAGAUAUCUUUGAGAGAGUUGGACGUGGUAUAGCACAUGAUGAAUAUAUAUCAUUUAAAGUUCAAGCUGGAAAAUUAAUAUAUAAUGAUGAAGAAUCUGACAUAUUAGCUGGAAAAAUUAGAGUUGAAUUUAUAAAAGGUUAUAGAGACAAUCCAAAGAUAAAUGCUAUUGCAGUAGUGAAAGGAAAUAUAGAAGAUAUACCACAAUUGGGCCCAAUUCCUCAAGAACCAGAAGAAUAUCAUAAUAUACAAGAAGAUGAGGAAGAAUCUACAGUUCGUAGUCGACAUACAAGUGGUCCUAGAACUCCAGAUCCUUAUUCAAUUGAUGAUUCUUCAGUAAUGUUACCAGUCUUUGUAGCUCUUGGGGCAUUUAUUCCUUUAUUAUUUUGCCUAUGUAAAUUAUAGGUGAUAAAAUUUUGCACAUAAAUGCCUUGUACUUAAAAAAUAUAAUUUAAUCAGCUUAGAAAUAAUAUUACAGGAGAAAUUAAGGGGAAAUAAUAUGUAAAGACAUACAGUACAAUAAAUCUAAGUACUUUAUUUUAGUACAUGCACAUAAAAUGUUAUAAAUGAAAUUUAUGAUUAAUUUAUU
Molecule: RNA transcript, 1320 nt
Organism: Apis dorsata (giant honeybee)
Lineage: Eukaryota; Metazoa; Arthropoda; Insecta; Hymenoptera; Apidae
Gene name: malectin-A
Exons: 5
Source: RefSeq, a predicted model, not a curated record